Molecule: ribosomal RNA, 496 nt
Filed under: uncultured bacterium
Lineage: Bacteria
Description: bacterial SSU rRNA
Rfam family: Bacterial small subunit ribosomal RNA
Source: RNAcentral
AAAUGAAUAGACGGGGACCCGCACAAGCAGCGGAGCAUGUUGUUUAAUUCGAAGAUACGCGAAAAACCUUACCAAGGCUUGACAUUUUAUGCAUAUUCUAGAAAUAGAAGAAAUGUUAGUAAUAACACAUAUAAACAGAUGGUGCAUGGUUGUCGUCAGCUCGUGUCGUGAGAUGUUGGGUUAAGUCCCGCAACGAGCGCAACCCUUGUCGCUAAUUGCCAAUAUUAAGUUAGGGACUUUAGCGAGACUGCCGUAGACAAUACGGAGGAAGGUGGGGAUGAUGUCAAAUCAUCAUGCCUCUUACGCCUUGGGCUACAAACGUGCUACAAUGGCCACUACAAAGAGAUGCAAUACAGCAAUGUGGAGCUAACCUCAAAAAAGUGGUCCCAAUUCAGAUUGUGGGCUGAAACUCGCCCACAUGAAGUCGGAGUUGCUAGUAAUCCCGAAUCAGCAUGUCGGGGUGAAUGCGUUCCCGGGUCUUGUACACACCGCCCGU